RNAcentral lists this long non-coding RNA (369 nucleotides) under Androctonus crassicauda. The record is from RNAcentral. Lineage: Eukaryota; Metazoa; Arthropoda; Arachnida; Scorpiones; Buthidae.
UGUGUUAUUUUUUAAUUGAUUUUAAACUUUCAAGAAUAGUGUUGCAACUUGAAAUAAUACAUGCACAAGAUAAAUAUAAUUAUUAAAAUCAACUUACCUAAUGAUCAAAAAGGACACAACAAAAAACGUGAUGUUUUUCUUGAAAGAAACAUUUGUGAACACUUCGUUAUCACAAGACUUUUUCUAAAUGUGACUUUUUUCUUGAAACCUCUGAUAUGCACACUAUGGCGUGAUGGACAUAAUUUCAGUUGUGUCAUUUAUCCUGAACAUAUUCAUUCGUUUCGCGCCAAAAUUCAAAGUGACACUUGUUCCAUCUACCGGUUGUCUUGUGAACUAUGUUUAUGAUUUUUUUCCUAGUAAAAAAUGACU